Molecule: long non-coding RNA, 1722 nt
Filed under: Homo sapiens (human)
Lineage: Eukaryota; Metazoa; Chordata; Mammalia; Primates; Hominidae
Description: HSALNT0016409
Source: RNAcentral
CGCCGCACCAGGCGCCAUUGUUUUUUUUAAAUUGGGCAGCUUCCAGAACCUGCCCAGGCUCAGAUAGACUCCCUAUCAAGCUUUUGAAUUUUUGCCAAUCAGAUAGGUAAGGUUAACUAUUUUUAUCCCCUCUUACUUAUCUCCAGCGAACCAGGCCUGUUACGUAGCAUCACUGUUUAGAAGUUCCAUGUCAGACUGGGCGUGGUGGCUCACGCCUGUAAUCCUAGCACUUUGGAAGGCCGACGCGGGCGGAUCACUUGAGGUCAGGAGUUCAAAACCAGCCUGGCCAACAUGGUGAAACCCCGUCUCUACUAAAACUACAAAAAAAUUUAGCCAGGUGUGGUGGCGGGCGCGUGUAAUUCCAGCUACUCGAGAGGCUGAGGCAGAAGAAUUGUUUGAACUCGGGAGGUGGAGGUUGCAGUGAGCCGAGAUCGCGCCACAGCACUCCAGCCUGGGCGACAAGGGCGAGACUCCGUGUCAAAAAAAAAAAAAAAAAAAAGUUCCAUGCCAGGAGAGUCUGGCUCCACCUAGUGGUAGCAUAUCUAGUUGCAGAAAAAGUACCUUUUCUUCGUAGCUGUGCCUUUGUACUUACUUUUACUUACCUACUAAAUUUCCUGCUCCUUCCUCCCUAAAUGGAAAAAAAACCUGCAUUCUAAUCCCUUUCCUAUGGGUUGCAGCAUGUGCCACACUCUUUGAGGGAGGCUUCCAUGUGGUCCUUAUUGGGCACUUCAACAUCUUAAAUCAUGAGUUGGGCUCAAAGGUAGGAGGAGUGGUACUGAACUCUAGGGUCCACUUUCUCAACAUACCAGAGACAAGGAAAUGAGGCUGGUUUGUUGGUUUGUUUGUUUGCUUGCUUGCUUGUUUGUUUUUUGGCCCUUCAACCUGCUCUACUGUCCACACACUAAGAACAAAGUGUUGGUGGUGGCAACUUUGAAAAAUUCAGGGCCGGCCUGAAUGACUCAUGCCUGUAAUCCCAGCACUUUAGGAGGCCAAGGCAGGUGGAUCACUUGAGGCCAGGAGUUCGAGACCAGCCUGGCCAACAUGGUGAAACCCUGUGCUAAAAAUACAAAAAUUAGCUGGGCAGUAGUAGCACGUGCCUGUAAUCCCAGCUACUCGGGAGGCUGAGGCAAGAGAAUCGCUUGAGCCUGGGAGGCAGAGGUUGUGGUGAGCCGAGGUCUGGCCACUGCACUCCAGUCUGGGCAAGAGAGUGAGACCCUGUCUCAAAAAAAAAAAAAAAAAAGUUGUUCUAAAAUGGGUAUGGGUAUCCCCACCAGUUACAUGGCAUCUCCCAACACUUCUCAUUGGUUUCUCAUUCACCCCUUUUUCUUCAUUCCUCAUUCUUUUGUGGCUGCUCCUAACCACUCUGCCUUCUGCAUUCCUUUCUCCCUGGGGAUGUUACAGACCACGACCAAAGUAAUCUGCAUUUUAUAAGUCUGCGUUGAAAAACAAAUGACGCGGCGGGUGUGGUGGCACACACCUGUAAUCCCAGCACUUUGGGAAGCCGAGGCGGGUGGAUCACGAGGUCAGGAGAUCGAGACUAUCCUGGCUAACACGGUGAAACCCCGUCUCUACUAAAAAUACAAAAAAUCAGCCGGGCAUGGUGGCGGGCGCCUGUGGUCCCAGCUACUCGGGAGGCUGAGGCAGGAGAAUGGCGUGAACCCAGAAGGCGGAGCUUGCAGUGAGCCCAGUUCGCACCACUGCACUCCAGCCUGGGUGACAGAG